RNAcentral lists this small RNA (639 nucleotides) under uncultured fungus. Its description in RNAcentral is "eukaryotic LSU rRNA". The stretch from base 222 to 376 matches the Rfam family "5.8S ribosomal RNA". Lineage: Eukaryota; Fungi. The record is from RNAcentral.
AGGAGUNUAGUCGUAACAGGUUUCCGUAGGUGUACCUGCGGAAGGAUCAUUAUUGAUUGUGAAUCGUUGCCUCCUGUGCUGGCUUCUGCAAGUGCACGGUGGUGACUUUUUCAUCCACUCCCCUGUGAGCCUUUGGCCUCUUGCUGGCUUUGGUCGGCAGAGGAUUUUUACACAAACUUGAAUGUAAUGAGAAAUACUGUUGUGCGCAAGCACUAAUGUACAACUUUCAACAACGGAUCUCUUGGCUCUCGCAUCGAUGAAGAACGCAGCGAAAUGCGAUAAGUAAUGUGAAUWGCAGAAUUCAGUGAAUCAUCGAAUCUUUGAACGCACCUUGCCACCCUUUGGCAUUCCGAAGGGUAUGCUCGUUUGAGUGUCAUUGUACUCUCACACUCUCAAUCCUUUUGGGUUGGGAGUGGUGGACUUGGGCAUUGCUGCUUUACUGCAGCUUGCCUCAAAUGUGUUAGUGCMACUCCAGGUUGGACAUAGUACGGCGUGCAUAACAUGUCUUCGCCGGCACCUCSCAAGAGGGUGACUGAUCAGGAGCUCUGUGCUUCAAACCGUCUUCGGACAAUCAUCUGACCACUGACCUCAAAUCGAGUAGGACUACCCGCUGAACUUAAGCAUAUCAAUAAGCGGAGG